Molecule: transfer RNA, 73 nt
Filed under: Ictidomys tridecemlineatus (thirteen-lined ground squirrel)
Lineage: Eukaryota; Metazoa; Chordata; Mammalia; Rodentia; Sciuridae
Description: Spermophilus tridecemlineatus (thirteen-lined ground squirrel) tRNA
Rfam family: tRNA
About the family: Transfer RNA (tRNA) molecules are approximately 80 nucleotides in length. Their secondary structure includes four short double-helical elements and three loops (D, anti-codon, and T loops).
Source: Rfam by way of RNAcentral
GGGGAUAUAGCUCAGUUGGUAAAGUGUCUGCCUUGCAUGCACAAGGCCCUGGGUUCAAUGCCCAGCACCACUA